RNAcentral lists this ribosomal RNA (253 nucleotides) under uncultured Gemmata sp. RNAcentral describes it as "partial 16S ribosomal RNA". It matches the Rfam family "Bacterial small subunit ribosomal RNA", at positions 524 to 776 of the family's 1533-position model. Lineage: Bacteria; Pseudomonadati; Planctomycetota; Planctomycetia; Gemmatales; Gemmataceae. The record is from RNAcentral.
GACGAACCGUGCAAACGUUGUUCGGAAUCACUGGGCUUAAAGGGCGCGUAGGCGGGCAACCAAGUCAGGGGUGAAAUCUUUCGGCUUAACCGGAAAACAGCCUCUGAUACUGGUUGUCUCGAGGGAGGUAGGGGCAUGUGGAACUUCCGGUGGAGCGGUGAAAUGCGUUGAUAUCGGAAGGAACGCCGGUGGCGAAAGCGACGUGCUGGACCUCUUCUGACGCUGAGGCGCGAAAGCUAGGGGAGCAAACGGG